RNAcentral lists this ribosomal RNA (253 nucleotides) under uncultured bacterium. RNAcentral describes it as "partial 16S ribosomal RNA". It matches the Rfam family "Bacterial small subunit ribosomal RNA", at positions 524 to 776 of the family's 1533-position model. The record is from RNAcentral.
UACGUAGGGGGCAAGCGUUGUCCGGAAUCAUUGGGCGUAAAGCGCGCGUAGGCGGCCCGGUAAGUCCGUUGUGAAAGUCAAAGGCUCAACCUUUGAAUGCCGAUGGAUACUGUCGGGCUAGAGUCCGGAAGAGGCGAGUGGAAUUCCUGGUGUAGCGGUGGAAUGCGCAGAUAUCAGGAGGAACACCAAUAGCGAAGGCAGCUCGCUGGGACGGUACUGACGCUAAGGCGCGAAAGCGUGGGGAGCGAACAGG